RNAcentral lists this long non-coding RNA (435 nucleotides) under Mus pahari (shrew mouse). RNAcentral's name for it is "lncRNA (MGP_PahariEiJ_G0004551.1)". The record is from RNAcentral. Lineage: Eukaryota; Metazoa; Chordata; Mammalia; Rodentia; Muridae.
CCAUUCGAUCCUCCUUUUGUUAGCGCUCCGGCUUCUUCCAGGUCUCACCUGCUCCAGUGCGAUCCGGCGCCAUCGCGCUUUGGGCGAGCAUGGCCAUCGGGAGUAGCGAGGUGGGGACCGAGCUGACGCCUGCCUGGCCCUGGCGAUGGUGGCGCGCGCCGGGGAAGGACUGAUUGGAGCAUGGCGCCAAAUGGGUCACGGAUGGCGAGGGGGCGCAGGAGCUCUCGGUGUGACCUGGCGCUGUGGAUGUGAUACACAGUAGCCUGAGUGACGCUGCUCUGCUGUCCUAAGGAGAGAACCCUUUUUCUGAAGAUGGGAGGUGGCUAGUGAAGGAGGUAAGGUCUCGGGCCCUUGCUGUGCUCCUGUGCGGUGGGAGCUGCACUGAUACGGAAACUUAGGGCAGGCAGUUUUGCUGGAGGUUAGGAAUGGGGCCUC